UUUCCUCACGUGUUUCUUUCUCUAGACUGUUCUUCCUCUCAGCCACUCUGCUGCCCCAUUUCCACCAUCCUUCACCCCCAUUUCCGGCAGCAACCUGGCUGAACGCGUCCUUCAACUAACCACCAGCUGCCAUCGUCCUCACCUCACUGGCCUUCUCUCUGCAACCUCCCACUUUCUCUCUCUAAAAACCCCCUCACCAUCGCCCCUAUGGAAUCACAAGGUGGGUUCCAAGGUUUGAUCAGGUCAGGGUAAGAUAAAGGUUUUUUCCAUUGUGUUUUUGGCCAAAAUUAGACCAGAAAGUGGGGCUCUGUAUGGAUUCUUGAUGUGGGUUUUGGGUGCCUUGUUUAAUUAGGUGUUGCUUUUAUUCUUGAGUUUUUUUUUUUUUGGUAUAUUUACUGUUGUAGUUUUAGUGAAAUUUGGGGGAGAAUGGCUCGAUUUUGGCUGGAAAGUGAGCAAAAUAGGCUGGUUUAUGGUGGUGAUGGGGAAAUUCGCUGGUUUAUCAGAGGUUUUCUUUUCUUGGGUUGAGUAGGGGGCCAGAAUUUAUUAUCGGAUCAUUUGGCCGGAAACUUUCGUUGGAGAAUGAAGAUUGGUGAUUUUCUUCAGGGGGGUUUGUGAUUUUCUUGACCCGGAAAGCCUGAAUGGCCGGAAUUUUGAUGAGAAUUGCCGAAGGUUUUUGUUCCUCCAUAAACUACCAACGCCAUCGCCAAUUUGCUGAUGUCCCUUUUUCUCUCUCUAAAACCACUACCGCCCCUUUUUCUCUCUCUAAGAUCACUGCCACUGUGCUGCAGCCCCUUUUACCUCUCUCUCUCUCUCUCUCUGUUGAUCGGGCAUUUUACUCUCACCCUCUUGAUCAAUAGCCUCUCUCUCUCUCUAUAGAUGGGGGAUCUCCAACAGCAGAACCUGAUUCACUACGGUGAAUGCACCUUUCAAAGUAUAUACAAGCGCGUUCUCUUGAAGCGCUCUGUCACCAGUUUCAGUGCCGCAAAAUUAUAGUGGCCGGAAGUUUGCAGGAAAACACGGCAAAUUUUGGGGGGUUGAGAGCAGAAAAUUAUAGUGGCACAAGGUUUGCAGGAAAAAUUGGGGGGUUGGGAGAGAGAGAGGGGUUUGGGAGGUUGAUUGGGGGAGAGAGAAAAGGAAAUAACGAGGAGAGAGGGCUCUAGAAAAACAUUGUUUCUAUAAAUUUGUUUGGGUCAAAAAAUUUAAUAAAAAAUAAAUAAAAUAUGUUUAGAGGGUUAGAAGAUAUAAUAAAGUGAAUUUUUAUGUAGUAAGAUAGGUUUUACAGCUUUAGAUUAAUAAAAAAAUGAAAGUUGAAAAUAGGGUUGGAGAUAUUUUUUCAAAAAUCUAUCCUUCAUUAAAUUUCACUCAUAUCAUAAAUAUGAAAUGUAGGGACACCGGCAAACUCUCUCUCAAAAAAUAAGUAGCAAACAAAGAUUAGGAAAGAAGAAAAAAUAUAAAGCUAACUGUGUUACUCAAUACUUUAAUAAAAGGUGUGGUUUGUAUAAGGCUGCGACUAAUAUAUUUAAAGCAUGAUUAAAUAAAGUAUAUUUAAAUAAAAUUAAAAAUGAAUAAAAAAAUAGAUUUUAUAUGUGUUCAAGGGUAUUUUUGAGUUUUUUCAAAAAAAAGAAGAAAGAGAUGAAAAUAAAUAUUAAUAGCCAAAACAAUUUCCAAUCUUUUCCAAAAUAAUAAAAACAUUAAAAAAUCCUUUAUAAACAAAAUCUCUUAUUUUUUGAUAUUUUAUAUAAAUUUUUGAGUUAUUUGUAAAAUACCCCAUUAGUUCACCAAAAUCGAUUGAAACCAAAAUUGUUCGAUCUAACCUGGACCGCCUGAUUUGCGCGAUCUAACUUGGACCGCCUGAUUUUUUCUACACUGGUUGUGACCUUAAACAAUCCCAGUAAGAUGGACCUUAAACAAUCCAAGUAAGAUGGACCUUAAACAAUCCAAGUAAGAUGGACAUCCAAAUUUUGUCAUAAAGAUACACUUUUGGUAUCGAAAUUCUUAGUAUGACCUUAUAAUUUAUUUUCACAAAUUAUAAAUUUUUAAAAUCCAAAACUAGAUAAAUCUAGUAGAUCUAUAAACACAAAUAAAAUUUGAAAAUAAACAAUCUAGAUAAUGUAUUGAAAGAUAUACUAUUUUCAGCACUCAAAAUUUUUAUUUUUUUAUAUAUUCAUAUAUUUCGAUAUUGAG
Molecule: long non-coding RNA, 2184 nt
Filed under: Amborella trichopoda
Lineage: Eukaryota; Viridiplantae; Streptophyta; Magnoliopsida; Amborellales; Amborellaceae
Description: long non-coding RNA (ATRI_LNC003983)
Source: RNAcentral